UUCAAAGCAUUUAGGAGCUUAUACAAAUACAUAAACAUGGCACACCCUUACCUCGCUGCCAAGCCUUAGAAGCUGGAUUUACCCAGGAGAAUGGGCUCUUACCUAAUCUCACUGCUCAGGGAGCUGUUGGCUGCCUCAAUAAAGCUGAGAUUCAGUUCUAGGUAAAACAGCAAAACCACAGACUCCCAUUAGCAUCUUCCCCACUACCUCACCCUAGUACUGCUGAGAUCUGGCUUUCGACCAAUAUUGCAAUGGGAAUACGUUUGCUUCACCAAGGAAAUCAAGCAUUCCCUUCUACAAGGCUCAACUUGCCGAAGUAUUAAAAUGCAAGAGAUUUUUGAAAAUAAUUAUCUAUCUUUAUUACAACACAAACUUUAUAGGUCUUAAUACUGCAACCCAGACCAGACAUUCUCACCUACAUCAUACUUGCUGUUUAAGUAUGUGUCAAACGCCCAUUCAAACUCAAUGCCAGCUAAACAUCCACAUGGAACUCUGCUUCGACAGGCACCCAAAAACACCAUAAAAAAAAUCUCGCUCCUUUCUUCAGAUGUCUCUUCCCAGGAUUUUUCUGUGGAAGUCUCCCAACUUCUUCAGAAGUAUUUUUCCUUAGUGAUAGUUUCUGGGUUUUGUUUCAUAAGAAAAAUUUUUGACUGGUCACUCAGUGGCACAAGAGUACAAUACUGUUAGAAAACAAACUUGGAUCGAUAUGGAAUACAGUUAGAGAAAACCAUACGAAUGGCACUGCAUUGUUUUUAUUUUAAGCCUCUUUACACAACGAAAGAUGUUGGAAUGCAGGUUCUUAUACAUUUUACACAAGAUACAUUGACAACAUCACUUACUUGAUUUGCAUUAUAAAACUGUUUCUGAAGGUUUUCCACUUAUCCCUACUUACACAAACUUUUACAAUGGGGUAGAAAUUAAACAAUUAACAAAAUAUAAACACCACAGAAUCCAAAAUGGACUUCUGGAAAUUUUAAAAUACACAGGCCUCAUGGACAAUACAAGAUUUUUUUUUCUCCCUUUUUUGUACUGUAGAACAGUGACACAAAAGUCAGACUUUAAGUGAUUUUAAUACCUGAAGAGAUACAUAAAUAUCAUGCCUUUGGAGGCAAGAUGAACAAAAACAUUUUCCUGCCUUUUUAAUACAUACUAUUCCUACCUCUGGAACAAGGACCUGCCUGCAGGAUCCCAUUUUGCAACUCGAAGCUGGUGGCAGGAAGGGAUCACAAGCUGGCACAAUAUGGGGUUGAAAACUACUGCGCCUAUGCAAAUUCGUGACCAUUGCUUUUUCUCUCCGCUGUCAAUCAAGUGAAAAUACUUUUGAAAGUUCAAUAAACACUUCAUAUAGCAUUAAAAUACAAUAAAAUGAAUUGAAAAAGGCCAAUUUCUGAAUGAUUUAUAUAUAUAUAUAUAUGAAUAUAAGCAGCCUGGCUUGUUCAGAAAAUUGUAAUCUUUUUAUAGAAAAAGAAUCUGGGUAGACUAAAAAAGGUUGAUUAUAAAAUAGCAUAAAAGCAUAGGAGCAUGUGUCAUUAUACUGAGGCAUAUUUUCCUCCUACUAAAACACUUAACGUGAGUUUACAAAAUUAAAGAUCUGUAUUUUAAAAGAUGCAUCCUGGUCUCAAAAUUAGUGGAUGCUUUAUCAGACAUACAGGAUGCUACACAGAAAAACUCUUAAUGAAAAACAGCAAAUAAGGGCUCAAACUGCAUAAAAGCUGGCUAAGCCAGGCAACUGACUGUCUUAAAAAAAAAAAAAGA
Molecule: long non-coding RNA, 1755 nt
Organism: Cygnus olor (mute swan)
Lineage: Eukaryota; Metazoa; Chordata; Aves; Anseriformes; Anatidae
Exons: 2
Source: RefSeq, a predicted model, not a curated record